Molecule: ribosomal RNA, 474 nt
Filed under: uncultured bacterium
Lineage: Bacteria
Description: bacterial SSU rRNA
Rfam family: Bacterial small subunit ribosomal RNA
Source: RNAcentral
GAUGAACGCUAGCGGCAGGCUUAACACAUGCAAGUCGAGGGGCAACACGGGUAGCAAUACCUGGUGGCGACCGGCGCAAGGGUGCGUAACGCGUGAGCAACAUGCCCUAUACAGGGGGAUAAUCCAGGGAAACUUGGUCUAAUAUCCCAUAGUAUUUAGAGGUGGCAUCACCACUAAAUUAAAGCUUCGGUGGUAUAGGAUUGGCUCGCGUGACAUUAGCUGGAUGGUGGGGUAACGGCUCACCAUGGCGAUGAUGUCUAGGGGUUCUGAGAGGAAGACCCCCCAACUGGGACUGAGACACGGCCCAGACUCCUACGGGAGCAGCAGUGAGGAAUAUUGGACAAUGGAUGGAAAUCUGAUCCAGCCAUGCCGCGUGCAGGAAGACGGCCCUAUGGGUUGUAAACUGCUUUUAUAUGGGAGCAAUAAGGUUUACGCGUAGACCGAUGAAGUACCAUUGAAUAAGCAUCGGUAACU